RNAcentral lists this unclassified non-coding RNA (378 nucleotides) under plant metagenome. RNAcentral's name for it is "partial contains 5.8S ribosomal RNA, internal transcribed spacer 2, and large subunit ribosomal RNA". The stretch from base 1 to 105 matches the Rfam family "5.8S ribosomal RNA", at positions 50 to 154 of the family's 154-position model. The record is from RNAcentral.
GAAAUGCGAUAAGUAAUGUGAAUUGCAGAAUUCAGUGAAUCAUCGAAUCUUUGAACGCACAUUGCGCUCCUUGGUAUUCCUUGGAGCAUGCCUGUUUGAGUAUCAUGAAAUCUUCAAAGUAAAUCUUUUGUUAACUCAAUUGGUUUCUACUUUGGUAUUGGAGGUCUUUGCAGCUUCACACCUGCUCCUCUUUGUUCAUUAGCUGGAUCUCAGUGUUAUGCUUGGUUCCACUCGGCGUGAUAAGUUAUCUAUCGCUGAGGACACUGUAAAAGGUGGCCAAGGUAAAUGCAGAUGAACCGCUUCUAAUAGUCUAUUGACUUGGACAAUACUUUUAUGAUCUGAUCUCAAAUCAGGUAGGACUACCCGCUGAACUUAAGC